GGCUCCAUAGUGUAGUGGUUAGCACGUCUGCUUUACAUGCAGAAAGUCCUGGGUUCGCACCCCAAGUUGAGCCA
Non-coding RNA from Pteropus alecto (black flying fox), 74 nucleotides. NCBI's taxonomy places the organism in Eukaryota, Metazoa, Chordata, Mammalia, Chiroptera, Pteropodidae. The record is from Rfam.